CUUAAAUGAAUUAGCGUUACAAGUGGGCUCUGACCGGUAAGCGGUCAUGGCGAAAUGGGAUGAACCAUACGUCUGAAUAAGGUGCCGAAAUGUACUAUCACUGAUACCAUAAAGGGAGUCCAUGUAUUUAGACAGCAGGUCGGUGCCCCUAAAAGCAGGUAUCCGCUAAAGAGUGUGUUAAAACUCACCUGCCGAAUACUAGGGCCCCGAAAAUGAAUGGCGCAUAUAGUACUACCGAUCUCAGACAUCAGUUCUAUUGAACUGAGAGUAGGGGGAUGUGGACAUUUUUGUGAAGGUGCAAUGUGAGUUGGACUGGAAGAAUGUCUAUUACAGAUCCUAAUUGAAGUAGCGAUUAUCCAGGCUUGUAUCCUGGGGGCUGAUGAGGAGUAGGGUUUCUGGACAACUUAAACAGAUCCAGAGUUAGUCGAUCCUAAUCUCAAUAAUGGGAGAAAGGGAGUACAGUUGAUAUUCUGUAACUGACAACAGUUCGCGGCAACGCAUACUAUUUUUCUCCGCCAAUCUUAUACCGUUGGUAGGGAUCUCUUUCCUACAUGACAGUACUAAUACCCAGGGAAACUGGUCAUCAGGCGAACUGCGGCGUUCUGCUGGCAAAACAUAGCUUCGGUUAUGUCAAUGGCUAUUGGAUUGGUCCAUGAAGCGAAAAAUAGUUUACUGUGUCACUCGUACCGAUAACCGCAUCAGGUCUUCUAGGUAAGUAGCCUAUGGCCAUUGAGGCAUGAUAGUUCAGGGAAUUCGGCCAAUUAGAGCUGUAACUUCGGGAUAAAGCUUGGCUCUGAUGAAAAUCAGAACCGAUUGUUACGCGGAGAGCCCAACUGUUUAAUAAAAACGUAGUGUCGCGCUGUGGUAGUAUAGCCAGUGAACGCGACAUGAAUCCUGCUCAGUGCUGUGUCUGUUAAUAUGGUUCAAGCCAACGAAGCACCGGUAAAUAGCUGGGGUAACUAUGACUCUUUAUCAAGUAGCGAAAUACCUCGUCA
Molecule: non-coding RNA, 995 nt
Filed under: Trichomonas vaginalis G3
Lineage: Eukaryota; Parabasalia; Trichomonadida; Trichomonadidae
Description: Eukaryotic large subunit ribosomal RNA
Rfam family: Eukaryotic large subunit ribosomal RNA
Source: Rfam by way of RNAcentral